CCUACGGGCGGCAGCAGUGAGGAAUAUUGGUCAAUGGGCGCGAGCCUGAACCAGCCAAGCCGCGUGAGGGAAGACGGUCCUACGGAUCGUAAACCUCUUUUGUCGGGGAGCAAAAGACGCCACUCGUGGCGUUCCGAGAGUACCCGAAGAAAAAGCAUCGGCUAACUCCGUGCCAGCAGCCGCGGUAAUACGGAGGAUGCGAGCGUUAUCCGGAUUUAUUGGGUUUAAAGGGUGCGCAGGCGGAAGAUCAAGUCAGCGGUAAAAUUGAGGGGCUCAACCUCUUCGAGCCGUUGAAACUGGUGUUCUUGAGUGGGUGAGAAGUAUGCGGAAUGCGUGGUGUAGCGGUGAAAUGCAUAGAUAUCGCGCAGAACUCCGAUUGCGAAGGCAGCAUACCGGCGCUCAACUGACGCUCAUGCACGAAAGUGUGGGUAUCGAACAGGAUUAGAUACCCUUGUAGUC
RNAcentral lists this ribosomal RNA (459 nucleotides) under uncultured bacterium. RNAcentral describes it as "partial 16S ribosomal RNA". It matches the Rfam family "Bacterial small subunit ribosomal RNA", at positions 338 to 795 of the family's 1533-position model. The record is from RNAcentral.